This 656-nucleotide ribosomal RNA is filed under the name Flavobacterium sp. Its description in RNAcentral is "bacterial SSU rRNA". It matches the Rfam family "Bacterial small subunit ribosomal RNA", at positions 93 to 747 of the family's 1533-position model. The record is from RNAcentral. Lineage: Bacteria; Pseudomonadati; Bacteroidota; Flavobacteriia; Flavobacteriales; Flavobacteriaceae.
GACCGGCGCACGGGUGCGUGACGCGCAUGCAAUCUACCUUUCGCAGAGGGAUAGCCCAGAGAAAUUUGGAUUAAUACCUCAUAGUAUAGCAGUUUCGCAUGAAACCACUAUUAAAGUCACAACGGUGAAAGAUGAGCAUGCGUCCCAUUAGCUAGAUGGUAAGGUAACGGCUUACCAUGGCAACGAUGGGUAGGGGUCCUGAGAGGGAGAUCCCCCACACUGGUACUGAGACACGGACCAGACUCCUACGGGAGGCAGCAGUGAGGAAUAUUGGACAAUGGGCGCAAGCCUGAUCCAGCCAUGCCGCGUGCAGGAUGACGGUCCUAUGGAUUGUAAACUGCUUUUGUACAGGAAGAAACACUCCCUCGUGAGGGAGCUUGACGGUACUGUAAGAAUAAGGAUCGGCUAACUCCGUGCCAGCAGCCGCGGUAAUACGGAGGAUCCAAGCGUUAUCCGGAAUCAUUGGGUUUAAAGGGUCCGUAGGCGGUUUAGUAAGUCAGUGGUGAAAGCCCAUCGCUCAACGGUGGAACGGCCAUUGAUACUGCUAAACUUGAAUUAUUAGGAAGUAACUAUAAUAUGUAGUGUAGCGGUGAAAUGCUUAGAGAUUACAUGGAAUACCAAUUGCGAAGGCAGGUUACUACUAAUGGAUUGACGCU